GGCAGUUCUCGAGUGAUGUACUCCAGAAUCAGGCUCCCUCCUCUCUGGUUCCGGGUGCAUCACCUGAGAACCGCA
Myotis brandtii (Brandt's bat) is the source of this 75-nucleotide non-coding RNA. The record is from Rfam. NCBI's taxonomy places the organism in Eukaryota, Metazoa, Chordata, Mammalia, Chiroptera, Vespertilionidae.